RNAcentral lists this long non-coding RNA (1062 nucleotides) under Sarcophilus harrisii (Tasmanian devil). RNAcentral describes it as "lncRNA (ENSSHAG00000021945.1)". Lineage: Eukaryota; Metazoa; Chordata; Mammalia; Dasyuromorphia; Dasyuridae. The record is from RNAcentral.
CGCCUCCCCCGGGGCCAUCACCCCCGCCCCGGCGGUCCUCUUCUCCCCCCAAGGGAUCCCUUCCGGCCGUUCUCUCCUUCCGCCCCUCCCCCGAGGGAGGCUCUGCCCCCACCUCCCGCAGUGCCAUUCCCAGCCCCUCCCCCCCCCCCCCCGCCACGAGUGGCAGUUCUUUCAACCAAUCCUCCUCCCCCCGCGGCUACGGCUGUUCUCCCAGUCCCCUUCCCCGCCCCCCGCGGCUACGGCUGUUCUCCCAGUCCCCUUCCCCGCCCCCCGCGGCUACGGCUGUUCUCCCAGUCCCCUUCCCCGCCCCCCGCGGCUACGGCUGUUCUCUCUUCCCUGCCUCCCCCCGCGGGUACAUCUUCCCUCCCCCCCGACGCCCCACUCUCCCCGGCCUCCAGCAGGGCCAGGGACCACGGCCCUCCAGUCCUUUGUCCAGGUCUAGCGGGAUUUCGGAUAGGGCCAGACCGCGGGGCGAAAACUAGGCCCUCCAUCCCGACUCCAGCUCCCGCCGCCGGCUUCUCCCCCGCCACUACAGUCCCGGGUCACAAGCUCUCCCCGCCCUUCCUUACCCAGGCCGCCCCCGGGGCAACUCCUACCUCCCUCCCUGGGCAAAAUGUGGAGGAGAGGGGCGGGGCACCCGAUCCGAUCGCGAACUCGGAAUUCGAUUGCUUCCCCUUGCCUGGAGAAGAAAGAAGCGAACAAGGGGCGUGGGGGAGGGGAAGGAGCCCGCACGCGCUCUCCCGGAGCUGCUGGGGGAGGGGCUGGGAGCGCGCGCGCGCGCGGCCGCGCGGAAGGAGAGAAGCAUGCGCACUGAGCGGGGCAGUCUUUGAAAGGCUCUUGUGGAAGCCUGGGAGGAAAGCCUGGGAGAGGGAGCGGUACUUGAGGGCCACCUGGAGGAGGGGAAGAAUCGAGCCAACAAUCCCAGACUCGGAGCCGGAAAAGACUCCUCUUCCCCCCCUCCCCCUCCCCCACCCCCGGGUCCCCCACCCGCAGCUCUCCCCGCCCCGAAGCCCAUCCUCGCGCCUGACGAGCCGUUGUCCAGCUUUGUUUAAAGGCCUUUAG